GGCUCAGGAUUAACGCUAGCGGCAGGCCUAAUACAUGCAAGUCGAACGGUAACAGGUCCAGCAAUGGAUGCUGACGAGUGGCGCACGGGUGCGUAACACGUAUGCAAUCUACCCUUAACUGGGGGAUAGCCCCGAGAAAUCGGGAUUAAUACCCCAUAAUAUUAUGAUGAGGCAUUUCAUUAUAAUUAAAGCUCCGGCGGUUUUGGAUGAGCAUGCGCGACAUUAGCUAGUUGGUGAGGUAACGGCUCACCAAGGCGACGAUGUCUAGGGGUUCUGAGAGGAUUCACCCCCACACUGGUACUGAGACACGGACCAGACUCCUACGGGAGGCAGCAGUAAGGAAUAUUGGUCAAUGGACGCAAGUCUGAACCAGCCAUGCCGCGUGAAGGAUGACGGCCCUACGGGUUGUAAACUUCUUUUGUACGGGAAAAAACCCCUGGUCGUGAACCGGGGCUGAUGGUACCGUAAGAAUAAGGAUCGGCUAACUCCGUGCCAGCAGCCGCGGUAAUACGGAGGAUCCAAGCGUUAUCCGGAUUCAUUGGGUUUAAAGGGUGCGCAGGCGGAAUGAUAAGUCAGUGGUGAAAUCCUACAGCUUAACUGUAGAACUGCCAUUGAUACUAUCGUUCUUGAGUACAUUUGAAGUGGGCGGAAUGUGUCAUGUAGCGGUGAAAUGCUUAGAUAUGACACAGAACACCGAUCGCGAAGGCAGCUCACUAAGUUGUAACUGACGCUCAGGCACGAAAGCGUGGGGAUCAAACAGGAUUAGAUACCCUGGUAGUCCACGCCGUAAACGAUGAUUACUCGAUGUUGGCGAUACACUGUCAGCGUCUAAGCGAAAGCAUUAAGUAAUCCACCUGGGGAGUACGGCCGCAAGGUUGAA
This 880-nucleotide ribosomal RNA is filed under the name uncultured bacterium. RNAcentral's name for it is "bacterial SSU rRNA". It matches the Rfam family "Bacterial small subunit ribosomal RNA", at positions 21 to 898 of the family's 1533-position model. The record is from RNAcentral.